GACGAGGGGUGCGAGCGUUAUUCGGAAUUAUUGGGCGUAAAGGGUGCGUAGACGGCAUACUAAGUCUGUUGUUAAAUCUCCCGGCUUAACCGGGAAUCAGCGAUGGAUACUGAUGUGCUAGAGGGUGGAAGAGAGAAGUGGAAUUCUCGGAGUAGCGGUAAAAUGCGUAGAUCUCGAGAGGAACACCAAUGGCGAAGGCAGCUUCUUAGUCCAUUUCUGACGUUGAGGCACGAAAGCGUGGGGAGCAAACAGG
Molecule: ribosomal RNA, 253 nt
Filed under: uncultured bacterium
Lineage: Bacteria
Description: partial 16S ribosomal RNA
Rfam family: Bacterial small subunit ribosomal RNA
Source: RNAcentral